This 475-nucleotide long non-coding RNA is filed under the name Phoenix dactylifera (date palm). Its description in RNAcentral is "long non-coding RNA (PDAC_LNC018214)". The record is from RNAcentral. Lineage: Eukaryota; Viridiplantae; Streptophyta; Magnoliopsida; Arecales; Arecaceae.
GAGAGAGAGAGAGAUUGCUUUACCUAGAUGAGUUGCUCCAUCUAGUAUUCGAGUCUAUGUCAUUUAGCUGGAUUGGUCCAUCUGAUCCUUUGUGCUCCAUUAAUCGACGGAAGCUGAGAUUGCCAGUCCCAAGAGCAGAAUCUUCUUCGCCUGAGCCUUCUGAUUGGCCUUGAGAAUACAAAAUAUAUGCAAGAAGCACAUCGAGAAGAAGAUGAUAUUGCACUUAUUUGAAGAUGAUUUACCAAGGCUUGGUAGAAAAUUUCAACUGAUUUUUUAGGAAGCUCGUAAAAGAGUUAAAAUAGAGGGAGGGUGAGAUGAAAUAAAGAGAAACGCAGAAGGCUAAGCAAUACGAAUUACCUGAGGAAGCUGCAGGUUUGUCAGUGGAUUUAACAGUUCUAUACAUCUGUAGAGCCAGAGAGAAAGAAAUUAAAGGCCAUUAAAUAGAUAGAGGGAUAGAAAGACAGAUAUACUUAAA